Molecule: ribosomal RNA, 449 nt
Filed under: uncultured bacterium
Lineage: Bacteria
Description: bacterial SSU rRNA
Rfam family: Bacterial small subunit ribosomal RNA
Source: RNAcentral
GGCCAGACUCCUACGGGAGGCAGCAGUGGGGGAUAUUGCACAAUGGGGGGAACCCUGAUGCAGCGACGCCGCGUGGGUGAAGGAGCGUUUCGGCGCGUAAAGCCCUAUCGGCAGGGAAGAAGGAGGACGGUACCUGACUAAGAAGCCCCGGCUAACUACGUGCCAGCAGCCGCGGUAAUACGUAGGGGGCAAGCGUUAUCCGGAUUUACUGGGUGUAAAGGGGGCGCAGACGGCAGCGCAAGCCAGGAGUGAAAGCCCGGGGCCCAACCCCGGGACUGCUUUGGAAACUGUGUAACUAGAGUACAGGAGGGGCAGGCGGAAUUCCUGGUGUAGCGGUGAAAUGCGUAGAUAUCAGGAGGAACACCGGCGGCGAAGGCGGCCUGCUGGACUGAAACUGACGUUGAGGCUCGAAAGCGUGGGGAGCAAACAGGAUUAGAUACCCUAGUAGC